ACGGUGAGGGAUGAAAGCUGGGGGAGCAAACCGGAUUAGAUACCCGGGUAGUCCCAGCUGUAAACUAUGCAAACUCGGUGAUGCAUUGGCUUGAUGCCAAUGCAGUGCCGCAGGGAAGCCGUUAAGUUUGCCGCCUGGGAAGUACGUACGCAAGUAUGAAACUUAAAGGAAUUGGCGGGGGAGCACCACAAGGGGUGAAGCCUGCGGUUCAAUUGGAGUCAACGCCU
This 227-nucleotide ribosomal RNA is filed under the name uncultured crenarchaeote. RNAcentral's name for it is "partial 16S ribosomal RNA". It matches the Rfam family "Archaeal small subunit ribosomal RNA", at positions 694 to 920 of the family's 1478-position model. The record is from RNAcentral. Lineage: Archaea; Thermoproteati; Thermoproteota.